UGUGUGCCCCUGUCCAGUCCUUUUGUUUCCCAGGUCUGGGUGUUCCAGCUCUGUGUAAAGUGUCUGCUGCCAUGGAUGGAGUAAUUAUUUUAGCCAGUACCAGGUUCCUACCAUUGUGUGAGAGAGCAUUGGACCAUUGCAUCAUUGGCUGUGACUGCUGAGAGACUAAGCCCCUCCUCUAAAGGAUGCUCCGGCUCUUCCAAGUUUGUCCUGAUUAUUUGCACCUGCCUCCGGAUCCAGCCCCUCCCUACAAAAGCCAGAUGCUCCUACCAUUUCAGGCUCAGCUUUGGAAACCCACCUACCUGCGAGUCCAGGAGUAGCUUGACGGCAUAGGCUUCGCAAUGGUGUCCUGACGGUCUGGGUCUGGGUCUUGGAGCGCCUGGCCCCGUUACCACUUUUUAUUUACCAGACCCUUCACCGGAUCCCGCUCCGGCUUUUAACCUUCAUCAUGUCUGUCAAGGAUGGAUUACCCGGCUCUGGACUUCAGCUCCCUGGAUUACCCUACUGACUCCCCUUGGAUUUGUUUGCCUUGGCCACGCCCCCCCAGCACCAGCGCACCAUCGACACGCCUCCCUGUUUGUCUACCAGCGCCGUUCCUAGUCUUCUCUCCCCAUGUUUUUUUAACUCCUUUCUGGAUUCUGUUGUCUUCAUAGGAUCCUGAAAAACGCUUCUUGACAAUUUUGCAAAUGUAAUGUAUUCCAACUAAUAGACACCUCACAAACCAGACAUAUUUUUAACAAGCAGUCACCAAGAAUAAAGGCGGUACCAUAA
This is a non-coding RNA of Lepisosteus oculatus (spotted gar), 771 nucleotides long. The record is from RefSeq and is a predicted model, not a curated record. Lineage: Eukaryota; Metazoa; Chordata; Actinopteri; Semionotiformes; Lepisosteidae.